Molecule: long non-coding RNA, 221 nt
Filed under: Capsicum annuum
Lineage: Eukaryota; Viridiplantae; Streptophyta; Magnoliopsida; Solanales; Solanaceae
Description: long non-coding RNA (CANN_LNC014870)
Source: RNAcentral
AAGUCUAACAAUAAGUAACAACUACCUCGUUUACCACCAGAGUUGGCAUAGUGAUUCAUCGCUAUGUCCCUUAAGCAAGAGGUCGGGGGUUUGAUCCCCGCCUCUGGUGAAUGGAGCAAACUCUGUGGACAGUUUCCUAUCGCAAAAUACGCUGACCGAGGAACGAAGGAUUAGUUUCACAGCUGCCAGCUGUGGGGAUACCUUGGGCAACCAAAAAAAAA